Molecule: ribosomal RNA, 497 nt
Filed under: uncultured bacterium
Lineage: Bacteria
Description: partial 16S ribosomal RNA
Rfam family: Bacterial small subunit ribosomal RNA
Source: RNAcentral
GAUGAACGCUGGCGGCGUGCCUAAUACAUGCAAGUCGAGCGAACGGACGAGAAGCUUGCUUCUCUGUUGUUAGCGGCGGACGGGUGAGUAACACGUGGAUAACCUACCUAUAAGACUGGGAUAACUUCGGGAAACCGGAGCUAAUACCGGAUAAUAUUUUGAACCGCAUUGUUCAAAAGUGAAAGACGGUCUUGCUGUCACUUAUAGAUGGAUCCGCGCUGCAUUAGCUAGUUGGUAAGGUAACGGCUUACCAAGGCAACGAUGCAUAGCCGACCUGAGAGGGUGAUCGGCCACACUGGCACUGAGACACGGUCCAGACUCCUACGGGAGGCAGCAGUAGGGAAUCUUCCGCAAAGGGCGAAAGCCUGACGGAGCAACGCCGCGUGAGUGAUGAAGGUCUUCGGAUCGUAAAACUCUGUUAUUAGGGAAGAACAUAUGUGUAAGUAACUGUGCACAUCUUGACGGUACCUAAUCAGAAAGCCACGGCUAACUACGUG